CACCACUAGCAGAUGAAGCUGCCAGCAUGAUCUCAGCUUGACUUUCUGAUCUUUUUUUUAUCAUCAGCUUCAAGGAAAGAUCAGAUCAUGUUGGUAGCUUCAUCUAUUGAUGGG
RNAcentral lists this microRNA precursor (114 nucleotides) under Beta vulgaris subsp. vulgaris (sugar beet). RNAcentral's name for it is "pre miRNA MIR167_1". It matches the Rfam family "MIR167 microRNA precursor family". Lineage: Eukaryota; Viridiplantae; Streptophyta; Magnoliopsida; Caryophyllales; Amaranthaceae. The record is from RNAcentral.